Molecule: ribosomal RNA, 275 nt
Filed under: uncultured bacterium
Lineage: Bacteria
Description: partial 16S ribosomal RNA
Rfam family: Bacterial small subunit ribosomal RNA
Source: RNAcentral
UCUAAGUUUGAUGGCGACCGGCGCACGGGUGAGUAACACGUAUCCAACCUGCCGAUGACUCGGGGAUAGCCUUUCGAAAGAAAGAUUAAUACCCGAUGGCAUAGUUCUUCCGCAUGGUAGAACUAUUAAAGAAUUUCGGUCAUCGAUGGGGAUGCGUUCCAUUAGGUUGUUGGCGGGGUAACGGCCCACCAAGCCUUCGAUGGAUAGGGGUUCUGAGAGGAAGGUCCCCCACAUUGGAACUGAGACACGGUCCAAACUCCUACGGGAGGCAGCAG